UUUGCGAUAUACUUUGGUUUGUCUCAUUCAGGUUAGGAUUCUAGAAUCUAGUGGUAAAUGUUUACGAGGUGGUAUUUCAGUAUGUUGUCCAGGAUCGCAGUAUAAUAAAGCCACAGAAAAAUGUGAGGAAUGCCCACCUGGAUAUUAUCACUGGCACUGUUCUAGAAAAUGUCAAUAUCGAUAUUAUGGGAAGCGUUGUGAAAAGGAAUGUUCAUGUUCAGAAGAUCUUUGUCAUUUCUCUUAUGGUUGUUCGGAAUCCGAAGGGCAAGGGACAGUCGCUUCGUUACAGAAUUUUGAAAACAAAAGUGAAUAUC
Saccostrea echinata is the source of this 314-nucleotide long non-coding RNA. RefSeq lists it as uncharacterized. NCBI's taxonomy places the organism in Eukaryota, Metazoa, Mollusca, Bivalvia, Ostreida, Ostreidae. The record is from RefSeq and is a predicted model, not a curated record. The transcript has 4 exons.